RNAcentral lists this transfer RNA (92 nucleotides) under Marinilabiliales bacterium. Its description in RNAcentral is "tRNA-Ser". It matches the Rfam family "tRNA". Rfam says of the family: Transfer RNA (tRNA) molecules are approximately 80 nucleotides in length. The record is from RNAcentral. Lineage: Bacteria; Pseudomonadati; Bacteroidota; Bacteroidia; Marinilabiliales.
GGAGAGAUGCCGGAGUGGUCGAACGGGGCGGUCUCGAAAACCGUUGUUCUGCUAUCGCGGAACCGAGGGUUCGAAUCCCUCUCUCUCCGCAA